AUUGAACGCUGGCGGCAGGCCUAACACAUGCCAGUCGAACGGUAACAGGAAGAAGCUUGCUUCUUUGCUGACGAGUGGCGGACGGGUGAGUAAUGUCUGGGAAACUGCCUGAUGGAGGGGGAUAACUACUGGAAACGGUAGCUAAUACCGCAUAACGUCGCAAGACCAAGAGGGGGACCUUCGGGCCUCUUGCCAUCGGAUGUGCCCAGAUGGGAUUAGCUAGUAGGUGGGGUAACGGCUCACCUAGGCGACGAUCCCUAGCUGGUCUGAGAGGAUGACCAGCCACACUGGAACUGAGACACGGUCCAGACUCCUACGGGAGGCAGCAGUGGGGAAUAUUGCACAAUGGGCGCAAGCCUGAUGCAGCCAUGCCGCGUGUAUGAAGAAGGCCUUCGGGUUGUAAAGUACUUUCAGCGGGGAGGAAGGGAGUAAAGUUAAUACCUUUGCUCAUUGACGUUACCCGCAGAAGAAGCACCGGCUAACUCCGUG
This 489-nucleotide ribosomal RNA is filed under the name uncultured bacterium. Its description in RNAcentral is "partial 16S ribosomal RNA". It matches the Rfam family "Bacterial small subunit ribosomal RNA", at positions 30 to 507 of the family's 1533-position model. The record is from RNAcentral.